CCCUUAGAUGUCCUGGGCUGCACGCGCGCUACACUGAUGUGUCCAGUAAGCACAUAACCUCUUCCGAAAGGAACGGGUAACCUUUGCAAAGCACAUCGUGAUGGGGAUAGAUUAUUGCAAUUAUUAGUCUUGAACGAGGAAUUCCUAGUAAGCACAAGUCAUCAGCUUGUGUUGAUUACGUCCCUGCCCUUUGUACACACCGCCCGUCGCUCCUACCGAUUGAAUGUUCCGGUGAGCUCUUCGGACUGCGCGGUCUGCAGUUUCUGCGUUCCGUGCGGAAAGUUGCGCAAACCUUAACAUUUAGAGGAAGGAGAAGUCGUAACA
This 324-nucleotide ribosomal RNA is filed under the name uncultured eukaryote. RNAcentral's name for it is "partial 18S ribosomal RNA". It matches the Rfam family "Eukaryotic small subunit ribosomal RNA", at positions 1470 to 1796 of the family's 1831-position model. The record is from RNAcentral.